RNAcentral lists this ribosomal RNA (497 nucleotides) under uncultured bacterium. Its description in RNAcentral is "partial 16S ribosomal RNA". It matches the Rfam family "Bacterial small subunit ribosomal RNA", at positions 28 to 507 of the family's 1533-position model. The record is from RNAcentral.
GAUGAACGCUGGCGGCGUGCCUAAUACAUGCAAGUCGAGCGAACGGACGAGAAGCUUGCUUCUCUGAUGUUAGCGGCGGACGGGUGAGUAACACGUGGAUAACCUACCUAUAAGACUGGGAUAACUUCGGGAAACCGGAGCUAAUACCGGAUAAUAUUUUGAACCGCAUGGUUCAAAAGUGAAAGACGGUCCUGCUGUCACUUAUAGAUGGAUCCGCGCUGCAUUAGCUAGUUGGUAAGGUAACGGCUUACCAAGGCAACGAUGCAUAGCCGACCUGAGAGGGUGAUCGGCCACACUGGAACUGAGACACGGUCCAGACUCCUACGGGAGGCAGCAGUAGGGAAUCUUCCGCAAUGGGCGAAAGCCUGACGGAGCAACGCCGCGUGAGUGAUGAAGGUCUUCGGAUCGUAAAACUCUGUUAUUAGGGAAGAACAUAUGUGUAAGUAACUGUGCACAUCUUGACGUUACCUACUCAGAAAGCCACGGCUAACUACGUG